AAAUAUACUUAUAUUCAAGAUUUGGUUUGGUCACUGAUUGGGAUUAUGUUAAAUUGAUUAAGCUGAACUUAUUGUCAAAAUAAAAAAGGAAAGCUUUUUUAUAGUGAAAUGCAUAGUAAAAUUGGGUAAAGUAAGAAGAAUAUACGUUAAACAAAAUUCAUUAGUUUCCUGCCACAUGCAUAUACAAUCAUCUACCUUUUUUUAAAAAAAAUUUAAACUCAGAAACUUCAUUAAGAUGCAUCAGAACAAUGUAGUCAUCUACCAUUUCUUUUAAUUGUUUUGAUAUGUGUAUGGAAAGACAAGGAGCCAUAGUUAUUAAAGGCGCUCCUCAAGCACGCCUCAAGCUCAAAGCUCACCACGCUCCAACCCUAGCGCCUCUAUAGGAGAAAGGAAAGCGACAUUCACCAGGCUUUCACCUUAUGCGCCUAGGCACACACCUUGUUCUAGGCGCAAUGCUCUAGAAAGGCACACCUUUUUUAUUUCCAUCUUCGAUGAGCAUUUGCAUUAACAUAAAGCACCACCUCUCAAUUUGAAAUUUGUCGAUCUACUAGAAUUUGAUAUUGACACACUAGGAAAUUUUUGAAAUUAGCAUCGCUGGUGAUAACUAGUCACUAAAAUUUGAUCAAAUCAUCACAUCCAAUUCACAAGCCUCUCAUAUUUCCAUUUUUAACACUACCA
This 678-nucleotide unclassified non-coding RNA is filed under the name Hevea brasiliensis (rubber tree). The record is from RNAcentral. Lineage: Eukaryota; Viridiplantae; Streptophyta; Magnoliopsida; Malpighiales; Euphorbiaceae.